RNAcentral lists this ribosomal RNA (206 nucleotides) under uncultured bacterium. RNAcentral's name for it is "partial 16S ribosomal RNA". The stretch from base 32 to 206 matches the Rfam family "Bacterial small subunit ribosomal RNA", at positions 550 to 717 of the family's 1533-position model. The record is from RNAcentral.
UACAGACGACUGCAAGCGUUUGAUUCGGAAGUUCACUGGGCGUGAAAGGGUGCGCAGGCGGUUGGGUGUGUCAGAUGUGAAAUCCCGAGGCUCAACCUCGGAACUGCGUCUGAAACUACUCGGACUAGGAAGUACUGGAGGAGGGUAACGGAAUUCACGGUGUAGCAGGUAGAAAUGCGUAGAUAUCGUGAGGAACACCAGGAGGC